Molecule: long non-coding RNA, 1314 nt
Organism: Micropterus salmoides (largemouth bass)
Lineage: Eukaryota; Metazoa; Chordata; Actinopteri; Centrarchiformes; Centrarchidae
Exons: 6
Source: RefSeq, a predicted model, not a curated record
UUUUAUAUGGGAAUAUAGUUAUUUAAACUCCAAAUGUGUGGUCUAUUUCUCAACUAAUUGCUGAUUUAAAAAAUUUGCUACAAUGUUUUCGGAGAUGUGCCUGCCCGCUAACGGGCAAGUCUGCUGCUGUUUGAAUUGCUGAAUGACAGACUGCGUGGUCCAAAUAAAUAAUUAUAAUGUGUAGCAAUCUUCACAUGUUAUCAGACGCAAAGCGCCCCUUAACCAAAUCCUGUUUGGUCCUCAUUAACAGCAUGCUGGAAUGCACUACAGUUGGCAGAGUCAUCCACAGACUCAGCGGUGACAUAGAUUGACGUAUGUGUUUGUUUCUCAGCAGAGGAGUGUCAUACUGAUACUUAAUGUCACGUCAGUCAGCCACAUCACAUUGAAGGUGCAGUUGUCAGACUGCAGCAGAGGAGUGUCAUACUGAUACUUAAUGUCACGUCAGUCAGCCACAUCACAUUGAAGGUGCAGUUGUCAGACUGCAGCAGAGGAGUGUCAUACUGAUACUUAAUGUCACGUCAGUCAGCCACAUCACAUUGAAGGUGCAGUUGUCAGACUGCAGGUUUCCUUUGUUUUACUUUACCAACUUGGCGAAAGUGGACACCACAGAAAAGGACACAGAAGAGAAGAAUAUCCGGUCAGAUCCCUGCAGAAGUUUAAUGUGAACAGAGUUACAAGCAGGAGAGGACAGACGCACAGACUUUCUUGAGCUUCCUGGGAUCAUUGCCUCACUCAGAGGCCACAAAAAUCAGGACCAGCUGGUGCUCAUAGAUGCUAUGUGAUAAAGCAGUUUCCAAAUCCCAUAGUGUCACUGCAACAAGUCCUACUCAAAGAUACCGACCCUCCAAUCCAAGGAUACGGAUUGUGACAUUUUUCAGUUUGGUUCCACCAUUUGUACUGCAUGCUUGUGACGGAGUACCUUCACUACAGUUGAGUUAGAGAACCCCUCAGAGAACCGAAAUGCAAUUAACUGUCAAAGUUGCAUGUUUGGUACCCUGUAGACCUGUGAUUGAAUCUGGGUAGACUGACUGCUCUCGCCUUUGGCCGCAUAUGGUGUCAGGAGUGGGACGGCUUGCCGUGAGGUCAUCUGAGCCCAGAGUCUGAACCGUAUGAGGGACCCCAUGGGUUACAUUAAUGAUGGGAUGUGUAUAGUGUACUUUUCAGUAAUACUGAUCAUAUGUCGUCAUUUUACGGAUUUUAUUUUUAUUUGAAGGUAUUUUGGUCGAGAUGUGAUACAUGCUGCUGCACCUUUUAAUGUACAGGAAUUUAUUUUUGUAAUAUACACAAAAUUAAAGUUUUUUUUAGUUGUCUGUA